UACGUAGGGUGCGAGCGUUGUCCGGAAUUAUUGGGCGUAAAGAGCUUGUAGGCGGUUUGUCGCGUCUGCUGUGAAAUCUCAAGGCUCAACCUUGAGCUUGCAGUGGGUACGGGCAGACUAGAGUGUGGUAGGGGAGACUGGAAUUCCUGGUGUAGCGGUGAAAUGCGCAGAUAUCAGGAGGAACACCGAUGGCGAAGGCAGGUCUCUGGGCCACUACUGACGCUGAGAAGCCGAAAGCAUGGGGAGCGAACAGG
RNAcentral lists this ribosomal RNA (254 nucleotides) under uncultured bacterium. RNAcentral's name for it is "partial 16S ribosomal RNA". It matches the Rfam family "Bacterial small subunit ribosomal RNA", at positions 524 to 776 of the family's 1533-position model. The record is from RNAcentral.